AAGGGAAGUGGCAGUCAUGAAGACACUCAAUCAGCCUUAUAGAGUCCAUGUGGUAAGGAGUUGAGGCCUCCUGCCACAUGAGUGAACCAUGUUAGAAACAACCUCCAGCCCCGGUCAAGCCUUCAGAUGACUGCAGCCCUAGCUGACAUCUCAACUUCAACCAAAAGGAGACCCUGAAUCUGAUUCUGAUUCAGUGGUUCUGACCACUCAGCUAAGGUGCUCCCCAAUUAUCAACCCACAGGGCUGUCUAGGAGAAAUCAGAGCACUACACAGAGCCUCCAUCUACUGCCCCGGAGCUAAAUCCCCUUGGAAUAUGUCUUAGCAGGUUUGCUUUCAACCCCUCAAAUUCUUUCGCCUGAAGUCUUCUAGAUGCAAGAAACAGAUGCUCCUUCAGCCUCCUGAAAUAAGAGAGGUUUAAUACUGGAGUGCACCUGGAGCAGUGAAGGGAGAUGGAGGGUCCUAGAUGCCAAGAUACUUCUCUGACCAUCUCAGAGCCUGCAGGUGGAGGAGAAUUCUAGAACCUCAGGCUGCUCUCCCAGUCCCCAGAUCUUCAUCCAAGUUCUCCACCAUUAACACAACCCAGCUGGUCUCCACAGAUAACCUCAUCUGUUUUUCUGUGCCUGCAACUUGUGCAUCCUUUCUGUAUUACCAGUUCAAAAUCCUGAAGGGUGAAAUCUACCUGGCCCAGUUAAUCUGUUCCCAGCAGGUCCCACCUUAAGGCUCUGGCUGGUCUCUGGGUUGACUGAUUCCUGAGCCCAUCUACUUGAUGCGGCUUCCCAGAUUAAGAAUGGAUGUUGAAAAGGAGUAAUUUCCAUGAGAAGAGCCAAGCUUUUCCGCAUCCAUGCCACGCACCAACCUCUCCCCAAGUUUUUCCUGAUAUGCGAUUCUCACUAUCGCUUCAUUCCAGUCUCUUCUGAUGUCAGCUCUUUACAAAGACCUUCCUUCCCUUCAGUGUCUCCACUCCCUGACCCUGCUUUCUGUGCCUCCGGGCGCUUGCAAUGACCUGAUAUUCUAUUUCCUCAUCAAUUGGCUCUCAUGCCAAUCUCCCCAAGAGAGCAGGAACUGUUAUCUCCCCCAGGGGAAUGGAAUGGCCCUACAGGGAGAGACUGCCUGUUCUCUGCAGUAUUUCCAGGCCCUGGUAUGCUGCCUGGUACAGCUGGCACUCAGAAGCUUGGGGAGUGAAUUUGUAUUUCCCACGUCAUCAUGACUGCUUUUCUUGCAAUAAAGAUCCCAACUUCUGCUCUCACCACUACACCUGCAACAGUAUUUCAGAUAUUUGAUGCUGGAGAUGGCGAGUCCUAGUAUUUUACAGUUGGCACAGACUCUACAAGUCAUCGAGUUUCCUCAUAUCAACAGAUUGCUCAAAAGCAACACACGUUCAUAGUCACCUACCAAUAGCAAACACAGUGCUUGGCACUGGAGAUAAAAAGUGAAUUAAGAAAGUGGUCAUUCAAGUUGCUCCCAAGAGGAAAUAGAGAGAUACACAAUUAAUGUCAACACCAAGAGGCAAACAUGACAUAUCCAUGAGACUCUGGAGACAGAAGUGGCACUUAACCUGAGAGGAAGAGAGGGUAUCAGGGGAGACUUCACAGAGGAGGUGAUUGCUAUUUGGAAGAAAGAUUGCAAAUUGAUCCCAAAAAGAAGGAAGGAAAGGGUAUCCAGGCAGAGACCAGAGCAAAAGCAAGGCGCAAUGACACUUCAAAUAAUCCAGCCGGAUGCAUUUCAGAGCAAUGAGCAGGAAUGGUCACUAGACUGGAGCAGAUUAGGAAGGUACACAGUAAGUUCUGUUUUGACAAGUGGAGUUGGCAUAGCCUGCAAGACAACCAAGGGGAGAGGGUUCCAAAAUAACUUCAGCUGUGAAUGUUUGGCUCAAGAGAAGGCUAGAGCAAAGAAUCACUGCAUUAGAGAUGAGGAAACAGACUCAGAGAAAUGAAGCAAUUGGAUCAAGAUCACACUGGAAUUAUGAGUGAAUGAAGCCCAGGCCUUCUCCCCAGCAGCCCAAUGAUCCUGCCAUCACCUGGCUGGCUUUCAUCAAGCCAAGCCUCCAUGCUGCACUGGAGAAGAUGUCCCUGCCCAGACACCUCACCAUUUGCACUUCCCAGGCCACCCUCUGCUUUUCUGUAGCGUGGAGAGUUCACCGUGAUCAUGGGAAGGCCAGGGCUUGUCCAGGGAUUGGGCUAAGAUGCUCCCAUCACUAACUUGACUUGAAGAGUCAUUAUAUGUGGGUGACUGCCCACACACCAGUAAUUAUCCAACCUGUUUUAAAAAAUCCCCUGUAAUAGAACAGGCUCUGUUUCAUUCUGAAGGAUGUCAGAUUUAAUUAAAAUAUUGUUCCACGUGUGUAAAUAUAGGUAGAGGAAUAAAUAUAAGCAUAGCACAAUUAAUC
This 2386-nucleotide long non-coding RNA is filed under the name Homo sapiens (human). RNAcentral's name for it is "HSALNT0280375". The record is from RNAcentral. Lineage: Eukaryota; Metazoa; Chordata; Mammalia; Primates; Hominidae.